UACGGGGGGGGCAAGCGUUGUUCGGAAUUACUGGGCGUAAAGGGCUCGUAGGUGGCCAACUAAGUCAGACGUGAAAUCCCUCGGCUUAACCGGGGAACUGCGUCUGAUACUGGAUGGCUUGAGUUUGGGGGAGGGACGCGGAAUUCCAGGUGUAGCGGUGAAAUGCGUAGAUAUCUGGAGGAACACCGGUGGCGAAGGCGGCGUCCUGGACCAACACUGACACUGAGGAGCGAAAGCCAGGGGAGCAAACAGG
This 253-nucleotide ribosomal RNA is filed under the name uncultured bacterium. RNAcentral's name for it is "partial 16S ribosomal RNA". It matches the Rfam family "Bacterial small subunit ribosomal RNA", at positions 524 to 776 of the family's 1533-position model. The record is from RNAcentral.